CAAUAGCGUAUAUUAAAGUUGUUGCAGUUAAAAAGCUCGUAGUUGGAUUUCUGGUGGGAGCGAUCGGUCUGGCGCUUAGCGCGAGUACUUGCAUCGUCUCCGGCCAUCCUUGGGGAAAGUCUGUCUGGCAUUAAGUUGUCGGGCAGAGGAUCCUCAUCGUUUACUGUGAAAAAAUUAGAGUGUUCAAAGCAGGCUUAUGCCGUUGAAUAUAUUAGCAUGGAAUAAUAAGAUAGGACUUUGGUACUAUUUUGUUGGUUUGCGCAUCAAAGUAAUGAUUAAUAGGGACAGUUGGGGGUAUUCGUAUUCCGUUGUCAGAGGUGAAAUUCUUGGAUUUACGGAAGACGAACUACUGCGAAAGCAUUUACCAAGGAUGUUUUCAUUAA
RNAcentral lists this ribosomal RNA (383 nucleotides) under uncultured eukaryote. Its description in RNAcentral is "partial 18S ribosomal RNA". It matches the Rfam family "Eukaryotic small subunit ribosomal RNA", at positions 592 to 976 of the family's 1831-position model. The record is from RNAcentral.